RNAcentral lists this ribosomal RNA (832 nucleotides) under uncultured bacterium. RNAcentral's name for it is "bacterial SSU rRNA". It matches the Rfam family "Bacterial small subunit ribosomal RNA", at positions 76 to 921 of the family's 1533-position model. The record is from RNAcentral.
AUCUUCGGAUGUGUAUAAAGUGGCGAACGGCUGAGUAACACGUGGGCAACCUGCCCUUUGCACUGGGAUAGCCUCGGGAAACCGAGGUUAAUACCGGAUACUCCAUAUUUGUCGCAUGGCGAAUAUGGGAAAGCUCCGGCGGCAAAGGAUGGGCCCGCGGCCUGUUAGCUAGUUGGUGGGGUAGUGGCCUACCAAGGCAAUGAUGGGUAGCCGGGUUGAGAGACCGACCGGCCAGAUUGGGACUGAGACACGGCCCAGACUCCUACGGGAGGCAGCAGUGGGGAAUCUUGCACAAUGGGCGAAAGCCUGAUGCAGCGACGCCGCGUGCGGGAUGAAGGCCUUCGGGUUGUAAACCGCUUUCAGCAGGGACGAGGCCGCAAGGUGACGGUACCUGCAGAAGAAGCCCCGGCUAACUACGUGCCAGCAGCCGCGGUAAUACGUAGGGGGCAAGCGUUAUCCGGAUUCAUUGGGCGUAAAGCGCGCGUAGGCGGUCUGUUGGGUCAGGAGUUAAAUCUGGGGGCUCAACCCCUAUCCGCUCCUGAUACCGGCAGGCUUGAGUCUGGUAGGGGAAGAUGGAAUUCCAAGUGUAGCGGUGAAAUGCGCAGAUAUUUGGAAGAACACCGGUGGCGAAGGCGGUCUUCUGGGCCAUAACUGACGCUGAGGCGCGAAAGCUAGGGGAGCGAACAGGAUUAGAUACCCUGGUAGUCCUAGCUGUAAACGAUGGACACUAGGUGUGGGGAGAUUAUACUUUCCGUGCCGCAGCUAACGCAUUAAGUGUCCCGCCUGGGGAGUACGGUCGCAAGACUAAAACUCAAAGGAAUUGACGGGGGCC